GUAAGCCCCCAAUCCUCUCUAUUGAAAUCAGGGAAGAUUGUCCUCAUAUUGAGAGUCUUAAAAUGCAAUUGAGAAGAUGGCAAAUUCAGCACACCCCUAGAGAAGCAAAUGAUAUCGGGGAUGGUCUUCCUAAAACCGUUGUUUAAUGAUCACAGGUAUUGCGGAUGGUAAAUAGCUAGACUAUGGCUAACUCUUUGAGAGUGUGUAGUGUUAGGAAUGCUAUGCUCAGCCUAUGAAAAUAAUUGCUUGCUGAUCAGCAGGGAGUCACUGUUUGAUUUCCUUGUAGGGUAGGGGUUCCUUGUGAUGAAAGUGGUGUUGUACUCGGUCAAGGUCAUUUUGGUCUCAUUCACUGUAUUAUUUAUACAAUCUUCGUGCCUUUCACAAAAAAAAAAGUACAUAUAUAAGCAUCCAAAGCUGAGGGAACGUACACAAAGUUGGAGAUCAAGUUAAGCCAAAGGCGACAAUGCAAUGGGUCCAUUGCUUCCUCUCAAUUUUAAUUAUUGUUCUUUGUACCGUUGAUCGGUCGAUAUCUAAUUGAAAAUGCUUACAAAUUAUCUCGUAACAUGAAUGAAAAGGACCUAGUUCCCAUGGUUUAGAAAAUCGCCAUGAUUCAGACAUAUGGUUGUAGUUGCACACAUGGAGAAGUCGAAACUGAAAAGCUGAUCGCUGAACUUUGUGGGUUCAUUUGGUGGAACCGGCUCUGCCUCUAGACGUAACGGUGAGUGCUGCCAGCUCUCCUGGUUUUUCACUUUUGAUUUUUCAUUGAAGAGGUCAAGAGAGAAUUAGCUAAGUAUGUCGACAUGGUAGUAGGAGCCAGGCAUAAGUCUGGCAUACGAAGUCAAGAAUAAUAGCAGAAUGAACAGUAACAGCAAGAGAGUUUGGUGCAUCCAUAUCGGACUUCUAAGCUGGACUUCUAAGCUAUCUCAAACUUUUGGUGCAAUCAUUUAAGAUUGCAAUGAUCAAAAUCUGUCAUGAUUAUGUUUUAUUGAAUGAAAAGUUCAGAGAAGCUUUUUUUA
This is a non-coding RNA of Theobroma cacao (cacao), 1016 nucleotides long. NCBI's taxonomy places the organism in Eukaryota, Viridiplantae, Streptophyta, Magnoliopsida, Malvales, Malvaceae. The record is from RefSeq and is a predicted model, not a curated record.